AACGAACGCUGGCGGCAUGCCUAACACAUGCAAGUCGAACGCGUGUAGCAAUACACGAGUGGCGGACGGGUGAGUAACGCGUGGGAACCUGCCCAGUGGUAGGGAAUAACUGCGGGAAACUGCAGCUAAUACCCUAUACGCCCUUUGGGGGAAAGAUUCAUCGCCAUUGGAGGGGCCCGCGUCGGAUUAGCUAGUUGGCGGGGUAAUGGCCCACCAAGGCAACGAUCCGUAGCUGGCUGAGAGGAUGAUCAGCCACACUGGGACUGAGAUACGGCCCAGACUCCUACGGGAGGCAGCAGUGGGG
This 304-nucleotide ribosomal RNA is filed under the name uncultured bacterium. RNAcentral describes it as "bacterial SSU rRNA". It matches the Rfam family "Bacterial small subunit ribosomal RNA", at positions 29 to 359 of the family's 1533-position model. The record is from RNAcentral.